CGCGAGGUCGCGGUGCCGAGAGCUCGGCGCGGGAGCUGGCAGCGGGAGGAGAGGUUGCGGCGGACCCGGGCGGCCCGGGCUCCGGAGCCAGUUCCAGCUGCUGGCCCUGCCGGGAGACGCAGAAACUGAAAAGGAUCUGAGGCAAGCGUGUACCCUUUGAUGCUGCAGGCUGUCCCUGUAUGCUGCCUAGAGGAGCACAGCAUCCCCACUACCUUGAGUUCCACUCAGAUGGACUCUAGCUGAAAAAAGAAAAUCCCACAAAGAAAACUAAUAGAAGAAUCUAUUCUGCCAUUGUUGUGCCUUUGUUUUAGCCCAGACAUGGGAACUGUCAGAACUGGAGUUGCUAAAUAGAGCUAUGCCGUCUUUUUCUGAUAAUGUGUAGUAAAAUGUACUACAACUUAUAUAAUUCAGUUCCAAGAACUAGAGGUCAGAAAUUACCACAUCGGCUAGAGGAAAUUUUUCCUUUUCAUGGAAUGUGGAAUAAAAUUAUAAAUCAUACCCUUAA
Molecule: long non-coding RNA, 505 nt
Organism: Eubalaena glacialis (North Atlantic right whale)
Lineage: Eukaryota; Metazoa; Chordata; Mammalia; Artiodactyla; Balaenidae
Exons: 2
Source: RefSeq, a predicted model, not a curated record